This is a long non-coding RNA of Humulus lupulus (European hop), 964 nucleotides long. RefSeq lists it as uncharacterized. The transcript has 2 exons. Lineage: Eukaryota; Viridiplantae; Streptophyta; Magnoliopsida; Rosales; Cannabaceae. The record is from RefSeq and is a predicted model, not a curated record.
UAUUACUUUUGACACACUUUAUUAACUUUUUUAAUAAAGAAAAAGUAAACCGCCGUGUACUUUUUUCGGGGGAAGUAGAACCAUUGUAAAGGGUGGUUUUAAUAUAAAAAGGCAUCCAAGUUCGUCUCUCUCAUUCUCUCCGCUUCCAGCUAGCAGUAACGUUCAACUGUCUAAAGCUCAGAAGGUAGGAGAUGAUGUGAAUUUAAUGAAAAUGUAUAUAAGUUCACAAGGUGUUUGCACAAAUGCUUCAAAGAAGCUUUUUAUAAUAACUAUUUAAACCAAUAAUAAUAAUACAAUGUAAAAUGAUGUCCAUCCAUCCAUGUACCAUUCAACAUUAUAGAAGUGUGCAUUGUCAUUUCUAGACGACUACAUUACUUGAUAUAUUAAUUGAAUGGUUAUUUGGCAAAACAAAAAUAUUAAUUGAAUGGACUUUGAAAAUUGGGGCUACCCUGCAUCGAGGCUGACGGUGGUGCUAGAAGGAUGUCAGUUUUUGAUGAACUCAAAAAGUCGAUGGGCUAACAAAUGAACAAAGAGUUAAAGUUGGAAAACUUCUUGUCCAAAAUCAAGCUCAAAUACUGACUACUUCUUCAUAUUAGAUGAAGAGUUUAAGCUUGGAUUUCUUAUGGAGCUGCUAGAAUGAUUCUGAAUAAUCUAAUUGUGGGCUACCUAGGAAAUUUUUUGUGUAGCAUUUUGUCAUACUCAUGCUCUAGAAAUUAUUUUGCCAAAUGAACCGUGAGCUAGCUAGGAAACUUUUUGUAUAACAUUUUAUCAUUCAUGUAUGCUUUAGAAAGAAACUACUUUACCAGAUGAAUGGCGACCUUGUGUGCUAUUUUGUUAUAUGCAUGCUUUGGGUGUUCUGUUCAGGAAAUUUGGCUAGCUUACAUAUAUAAUGUAACUUUUUUGUACUAUAUGCUAUGAAGUACUCUUAUAACUUGUUAUAUAUAAUUCUAUGAAAAAUAUUUUA